CUUUGGUGGCGACCGGCGCACGGGUGCGUAACGCGUAUGUAACCUACCUAUAACAGGGGCAUAACACUGAGAAAUUGGUACUAAUUCCCCAUAAUAUUCGGAGAGGCAUCUCUCCGGGUUGAAAACUCCGGUGGUUAUAGAUGGACAUGCGUUGUAUUAGCUAGUUGGUGAGGUAACGGCUCACCAAGGCAACGAUACAUAGGGGGACUGAGAGGUUAACCCCCCCACACUGGUACUGAGACACGGACCAGACUCCUACGGGAGGCAGCAUG
This 272-nucleotide ribosomal RNA is filed under the name uncultured bacterium. RNAcentral's name for it is "partial 16S ribosomal RNA". It matches the Rfam family "Bacterial small subunit ribosomal RNA", at positions 83 to 353 of the family's 1533-position model. The record is from RNAcentral.